UUUCAGAUGACUCAGUGUUUUCAAAUGUUGUUCCUUCUCAGAGAACACUGAAUUACGUCCUUUGAGCACCCGCGAUUGAAUUGGUGGCUUCAUUAAUGUACCUUCAGGAUGAAGCUAAUACUGGGAAGAUAAUGAAGGAAAUGGAAAGAAGCACUUUGGUGACACUAUUGGGGCCUCUGGAUCAACACUUGCUUGAUGUCUGAGCUUCAUUUUUAUGAGCCAAUGUAUUACUUUCAUUCUGUAAGACCAGUCAGGGUUUGGUCCCUUGUGGUAAAAAGUAACCAAAUGAAAACAUUUCCUAUUUGAGAUAAGUUGAACAUCUGACUUCAGUUUUAUCACCUCUAAUGAAAACCAAAGUUCUAUGCCACACUUUCUCUGUUGUAAGAAAACCAAGCCUAUAGAAGUCAAGAUUUACAAGAGUAAAUCUUGCAUGUAAAAAUUUCUUUGCAUUUUAAAAGGAGUUCAACAAUUAUAGGAGGUUCACUAUGAGCCAGUUUCACUAUUCAGUCAGUUUUGCAGUAAAUUAAAAUGUGAUUCACUUGAUAUAUUUUUAGGAACAUAUCAUUUGGGUUAAGUGGAAGCAUUACUGUUCUGGACAUCUGGGGUACUUAAUGUCAUCUCUGUAUGAAACAUCUGAGGAUCUAAUAGUAAGCAACCUUUUGUGCCAAAUAUUUAAAAUUCCUUCAGGAGUUAGUUUGAAGCUUGCAAAGACUCUGAGAUUGUAGUUAGAAAUACCUUGUCAAGCAAAUAAGAGAAAAUGAUCAGGCAGCACAUACCCUGUUUCUGAGGAACAUAGUCUGUGGUGACUUUAUGGGGAGCUGUAGCAGGUGCAUGAUAACCUUGUGGUUCAUCAUGUACUAUGAAGGAACAGUGACCUUCUCCCUCGAACUUUAGGAUUUCUAGGUAGGAUAGCCAUAUGUUCCUAUUUUCCCAGGAUAGUUCCAGUUUAUGUUGUUGUAAUAACACUCUCUGCCAGUUCCUGCUUAUAAGCUGCAUCAUUGUGGCACACAGCACAUAAUGGCACACAGAUCAAAUUAAAAUUGAGGAAUAAAAUAGUAGAGAAAGGAUGGAUUGGACUAACAUCUGGAAAACCAGGAGAGAGACUUUAGUGAUAAUUAUGGAGGGAGAACUUUUUG
This 1136-nucleotide long non-coding RNA is filed under the name Marmota monax (woodchuck). Lineage: Eukaryota; Metazoa; Chordata; Mammalia; Rodentia; Sciuridae. The record is from RNAcentral.